UACAGAGGUGGCAAGCGUUGUUCGGAAUUACUGGGCGUAAAGGGCGUGUAGGCGGUCGCCUAAGUCAGACGUGAAAUCCCCAAGCUUAACUUGGGAACUGCGUCUGAUACUGGGUGGCUUGAGUUCGGGAGAGGAAUGUGGAAUUCCAGGUGUAGCGGUGAAAUGCGUAGAUAUCUGGAGGAACACCGGUGGCGAAGGCGGCAUUCUGGACCGAAACUGACGCUUAAGCGCGAAAGCCAGGGGAGCAAACGGG
RNAcentral lists this ribosomal RNA (253 nucleotides) under uncultured bacterium. RNAcentral's name for it is "partial 16S ribosomal RNA". It matches the Rfam family "Bacterial small subunit ribosomal RNA", at positions 524 to 776 of the family's 1533-position model. The record is from RNAcentral.